Long non-coding RNA from Aethina tumida (small hive beetle), 912 nucleotides. RefSeq lists it as uncharacterized. The transcript is spliced from 2 exons. The record is from RefSeq and is a predicted model, not a curated record. Lineage: Eukaryota; Metazoa; Arthropoda; Insecta; Coleoptera; Nitidulidae.
UUUACUUUUCAGGCUUCAGUGUGCUCCUGGUUUUCUGGCUGAAAACGUGUCAACCGUACCGUACCGGAUAAAUUUUCAGUCUUGUGAUUAUUUGGGAAGGCUUAAUAGAAUAUCAAAUGGUAUUUCCAUCUAUCAAUAUCCACCAUUCCCAUCAACAGUGUGAGUAAACAUCGACUUUUUCCUCACAUCAGUUUUUUGCCGUCAUUUUUUUAUUAAAUUUCUGCGUGUCCAACCCAAUAAAACAGUAAAACGCACAUCAAAUGCGUCUUUUACAAAACCACCCCUAAAGGUAAAGUUACUGAAGAUGAGUGGAGACGUGGGACUUGCGAAGGUGAUGGCAACACCCUCAACCACUAUAAAAGCAUGCAGUGCCACGAGACGAUGAUGGUAUUCAUCAUCCUCUUUUGGCUCUGCAUGCUUUUACAGUAGUUGCGGGGUGUUCAAGUGGGCACGCACUAAUUUAGAAUAAAAUUGGCCACAAAACAAUCAGUUGUGUGGAAGAAACGACAUUCGCAGGUGAUGGUGUCGGUGAACGAUGGAAAUGGCAUUUUAUAUAGUAUUAAGCCUCCUCAAAUAAUCUUAAAACUCUGAAUUUGUCUUUUCCUGCGGCCAUACGUGUCAGGCAAAAAGACCAUCGACACACUGAACAACUAAAGUACCACUUCAACGUUCUAAAUCAAAGCAUUGUUGCAGUUGUUCCUAGGCACGAGGACCAAAAUGGGAAAAACGCUUCUCUGCUUCUCGUCCACAAUUAAUGCUGUGGUACCCGGAUGUUGAGGAUGGCUCACGCAGUGAACACAAUCAGGAACAGGACAGGACAUUCGUCUUAUAAUCAGAACACUGUAGAACUUUCAACAAUUAAAUUAUGUAUUGUUUUACAUAAAUAAUAAAUUGUGUUUAAACAUUAUCAAA